AAUGAACGCUGGCGGCGUGCCUAACACAUGCAAGUCGAGCGCGAAAGUUCCUUCGGGAAUGAGUAGAGCGGCGGACGGGUGAGUAACACGUGAGAAUCUGCCCUUUAGUGAAGAAUAACUCUGAGAAAUCGGAGCUAAUGCUGCAUAAUUCCUUCGGGAUAAAGGUGACUUUAUGUUGCCGCUAAAGGAUGAGCUCGCGGUCUAUUAGUUUGUUGGUGGGGUAAAGGCCUACCAAGACGAUGAUGGAUAGCCGGCCUGAGAGGGUGAACGGUCACAUUGGAACUGAGACACGGUCCAG
RNAcentral lists this ribosomal RNA (298 nucleotides) under uncultured bacterium. RNAcentral describes it as "partial 16S ribosomal RNA". It matches the Rfam family "Bacterial small subunit ribosomal RNA", at positions 29 to 334 of the family's 1533-position model. The record is from RNAcentral.